UUCAUGUCUCUGGUUGAUUGUUCUGC
RNAcentral lists this non-coding RNA (26 nucleotides) under Rattus norvegicus (Norway rat). The record is from RNAcentral. Lineage: Eukaryota; Metazoa; Chordata; Mammalia; Rodentia; Muridae.